UACAUAAUAUUCGGGUGAUUCAAAAUACUAAAUACCAUCGUUAAAGAUAAUUGAGAUGAUUAUCGAUUAUUGAGCGCAGCAGAUGCCUCGCGGUGCUCGUGGUGCCUGCGAGCAGCGGUGAGUUGUGCCACCCCUGCUUACCUCUUGUAUCUGAUUCAGGAUACGUAAACUAUUUCUUAUUAUAUCUAGAAAUCUAAGCUCUGGAUAAUUUUUUGCGAAAGAAAAAAUUGACUCAGAAUAUUACUAAGAAUACGUCUAUGUAAGGACAUAUAGUUAUUUUGAAUCACCCUGUAUACAUGUGGGAGUUUAUUGUUAAUAAUUUCAAAUUAAAGAUAAACGUUGGAAAUAAACAUUUAUACUUAAGAAAUUGACCCUACUCGGUGAGUCCAAGCCACACUGUCGCGUAGAGAGAGAGAGAGAGAGAGAGAAAGCAAUAGAUAAAUUUUACUGUAUCGACGAUUUAGAUACAUUUUCGACCCAUAACAUUCAAUUCUUCCGUUUGCAAUAAUAGCGAUUCUAUCAGCAAGAAAAUCUGCAGCUUUCAUGGAAUUUGUUGCCAUUAGUAUUGUCUUGUCUUUUCUUAUAUCCUGUAAAACGAUAUUGCGUAUUUCACACAAUUUCUUUAUUAUAUUUUAUUACAUAUUUUAUAUUAAAACUAUCUACUUAAAGAAAGUCAGUUAGCAUAAGUAAAUCGCAUAUCUGCCUUUUGUGUUCAGGAUCGAUACUGUAUGUAGGUUCGUCAAGGAUGAGAAUCUGUCAGAAUUAAAAUUAUAAUAAUUUGUAACACACACACACACACACACACACACACACACACACACACACACACACACACAAUUUAAUAAGUUAUUUUAAACUACGCAAUAUUGUUUUAAUUUAUAUUUGCAGAAUUUUUAAGAUACAUUUAUUUUUAGUACUUCUAUUGAAUGCAAAUCAGGGUGAACUAUGAGAUCCGUGGCUGGGAUACUUUUGGAAAUGUAAUAAUUAUGCCUUUCACUGUACGCACGUCAACACGUCACUGACCACGAACUGUCACAUCACCGCCGUGAAUUUCGCCGCGGAUUAACCAUUACAUCGACAGGCGGAUUCGACCGCCAUCUAUCGCGCGAAAAGCAAAAGUACAAAUCCCCACCAUCUGUCCCGGGCGACGACGACGAUAAUAAAAAUGAUUACGACGUUUCUUAAAAAUUUUACUCUUGAUGCGAAACUUUAAAUCGCGAUAUCUUCGCUCAUAAGUCACGUAGCGGAAAAAUAAAAACACUUUUGUUAUAUAAAUCGGAUGCGAGCUAUCCAUUAAGCUUAUUUAGAAAUCGAUCGAUUCAGCCAUUAUUGAGAUCCGAUAAUCUACGGAAUGUCGCAAACGGCGUCUCGCGUAAAUAGAGGCACGGCAGUGCCUCGCGCGCGUACACUUGGCGCGAGACACUACCGUGCCUUUUGAUAUAAUAUCAAUAUAAUAGAUCUGUAUUGCGCAAUACAAAUAAUAUAUAAAAUAUUAUAUAAUAUCAAUAUAACUUCAAUAUAAAAUCCGUUACAUAAGUGUUGUUAUGUUACUAUUAUUUCAAUAUUGCGAGUAAAUAACAAAAAAAUGUAAAAAUUAAUAUAAAACCGUUAUAUUGUACUCGGAUAACAAUCUAGAUUGCAUUAACAUGAUUGUAAGGCAACAUCUGUUAUCUCACAUGUUACUUCUGUGUAAUGUUGCGUCUAUAUUCUGUGUUUGCUGGGUUUUAAUAUUGGGUGGAUUUGCUUUACCGAACGCAGUAAUUUAACCACAUGCACAACUCUACAUCACACUUCAUCUAUUUAAUCAUCAACACCAAUGUAAAAUUAAAUAAUCAGUGAGUAAGAAGCAUAGAUUUUACAAUGGUGUUGAUGAGAUAGAUGAGAUAUUGUGUGAUAUAUAUAUAGAAUUGUGAAUCAGUUAAAUAUUGCUGUAAAUGUCAAUCAAUAUUCACAACUAGUAAUUAGCUUGAA
Long non-coding RNA from Monomorium pharaonis (pharaoh ant), 1971 nucleotides. RefSeq lists it as uncharacterized. The transcript has 2 exons. The record is from RefSeq and is a predicted model, not a curated record. NCBI's taxonomy places the organism in Eukaryota, Metazoa, Arthropoda, Insecta, Hymenoptera, Formicidae.